UAUCCUAUUAAAUAUUAAUGAAUGUUUGUUCAAAAAAAAGUAAGAAAAAUACUUUUCAAUAAUGAUCUAUAAAUUCUGUAAAUUAAAUAUCUGUAUGAAUUUUAAAUAUUCAAAAAGUUUAAUUAUUUUAAAUAACUGUUUUAAUUUCUUUUUUUAUAUUUAAAAUAAAAUGCAUAAAAUUAAAAAGAUCAUAGAUCAUCAUCACAACAUUAACAGAAGAAUACCACACGGUAGCUUUUUAAAAAACCUUGCAUAUAUAUCCCCCAAGUUUGCGGGAAAAAGGGUUUUUAAUUCCCAGACUAUUUGUAAUAGGCAAUUUAAAUACAGAAGUUUUAGUUGCACGUUUGUAUUCCCCAAUUUAAUGAUGACUUUAAAUUAAGUAUCAAAAAAGUCAGACGUCAUAACCCGUUAAUAUUAUAUGAAACAGCGUUUGUGAUUUUCCUUGAAAACAAAGAAAUCCCCAAACUGAAACCCUAGAUCGAGUGCAGAGAGAUUUCCAGCGUGCGUGAUGGUGAAGACGUUCACCGGAAGACGAGGAAGAGCACGAAAUAAGCUUCAAAUCCAAAGGGGUUCAUCAAAUCCCAUAGUUUUUGAAGUUCCAGAUGUUUCUUUUCCUCCCACAGUUCACGAAGGUUUUAAAGUUCCUGAAGUUUCAAUAACCACUAAGAAAAAAGGUAAAAUCAGUUCUUUUCAUGUUAAUAAUUCUUAUUAUUGAUUCUUGUAAUUGAUUCUGUCGCAUGAUGACUUCUUAUUAGGACACGAGAUGAAGAAGGUUCUUGAUUUGAUGAAGAAACAGUGAGACAUGAGGAUGAAGAAGAAACAGUGGUACAUCGUAAUGAACAAGAAGCUAUGGACUCGGGUGAGAAUUCAUCUGUUGAGGCAGAUGAUUGUGAGGUUAUUGUUGAAGAUAUGGCUGGAUAUAAGGAGUCUGAAC
This 934-nucleotide long non-coding RNA is filed under the name Brassica napus (rape). Its description in RNAcentral is "long non-coding RNA (BNAP_LNC012924)". Lineage: Eukaryota; Viridiplantae; Streptophyta; Magnoliopsida; Brassicales; Brassicaceae. The record is from RNAcentral.